AAUGCUGAAAUGAGAUAAGACUGUGGAGGACUGUUGGGAAGCCUAUCUGCUGAUGUGGCAUCACUUUUGUUUCCAGUAAAUGAAAGGAAAACAUUUCCACUCACUUAGGCAAAAAGAAGAAGAAAAGCUUGAGUGCUCAGCUGUUCUCUGAGAUGAGAUAAGUACGUGAUUUACAUUUUAUUCUGCUUCAUGGUUUGGCUCACGAGUAGGUGUUUUGUGUCUUCAGUCAUUUGGUGAUUAUUUCUUCAGGUUGGUUUUACUCAGUGCCAUUUAAGACGAAUUUUAUCCUGUGUCAGAUCUUCACUUUGAUGUUGUAUAAGAGCGGGGAAAGAAGACAUCCAUGCCUUUUAUCGUGUAUUAGGAAGAAAGUAUUCAAUCUUUCACCAUGAAGCUUUAUGUUAACUUUAGCUGUAGUUUUUUUGAGCAUGAUCUUUAUCAGCUUGACAAAGUUCUAUUAUAUUCCUAGUUUGCUGAGGUUUUACAAAUAAUGAAUUGAUGUCAAUCAUUUGAUUAAAAGCAUUCCUCAAAAUGCUUUUUCUGUUUCUGUCAAGAUGAUUGCAUGUUUUCUUUUUUAGUCUGCUGACAUGAUGAAUGACAUUAAUAGACUUUUGAAUGUUGAACUAGCCAUGUAUUGCGAAGAUAAAUUGCACUUGGAUAUAAUGAAUAAUCUUUCUUAUGAUUACUUGAUUUCAUUUUCUAAUAUUUUGGUGAUAAAUUUUGUAUCCUAUAUUCAUAAAGAAUAGUGAUCUUUAGUUUUCUUUUCUUGCAAAGGUCUUUUUUAGGUUUUGGUAUCAGGGCAAUGCUGGCCAUUUUAGUUCAGGAGUGUUUCCUUAUUUUCUCUUUUCUGAUAGAGUUUAUGUAGAAUUAGACACACAAAUGCUAUUAUUCCUUCUUUAAGCAGUGGUAAAAUUUAUUAGUGAAGCUAUUUGUACCUGGAAAUUUUAAUAAGACCAUUAAAUAAAGGUAGGCAAACAACCAAGAAUAUAACAGGUAGGCAAACAACCAAGAAUAUAAUGAGAUAAAGACAGGAGUAAAAAGCGUCAGAUAGAAAGUGAAUGAAUUGGAAGAGAGGCAAAGCAAAUCUAACAUUUGUAAAACUGAAGAAGAGGAAGAGGGAGGGAAGGAGAAGAAGAAGACAAUGAAGAUGAAGAAGAUGAUACUGAGGAAGAAGGAGGAGGAGGAAGCAAAGGAGGAGAAAGAGAAGAAGAUUUACUACCACCCAUGGACCGGAACUAAUAUUAAAACUAUAUUUCAAGAAAGAAGAAUAAAUGAAAGCAUAUUUGAAGAAGAAGAAAAAUAAAACAAUGAAACAGGUCUAAUACUUAAAACUAUAUUUCAAGAAAACUUUCUGGAAAUAAGAGAAAACCUUAAUCUAAAUAUUGAAAUGGCCCAUGAUAUGCCUGGAACAAUGGAAUGGAAUAAUCAACUCUAGGCUAUAAUAGUGUAGUAAAAUUUUUAGAUUUUAAAGACAAAGAAAAAAUUCCCCAGGGCCUCCAUGCAAAAAGACAAUAUUACUUAGAAGGGUAAGGAAAUUAGGCUGGCAUUAGCUUUCUCAAUAGCAGUGUACAAACAAAGUAACAGUGAAGCAACAUUUUUAAGAAACUCAAGGAAAGAAAGUGCAAGCCAAGAAUUCUACAUUCAGUUGAGCUGUUCAUUAAGAAUCAAAGCUGUAUAAAAAUAGUUCUACAUGUACAGGAACUCAGGGAAUACUGUACUCAGGAACCUUUUCUGACGUGUCUACCAGAAGAGGAGCUUCAUCAAACUUACAAACAACUAGGGAAAUUUUAGCAAAAGGACUAAUGAUGCCAAUUUAAUAUAUUUUAUUGUAGAAUUAAGAUUAAAACUAGAGUGGAAAUGUGAGUAGAAAAAAUAUGCAAAAGUCAUAGGUUCUGACAAAGUUGAAAAAAAUGUCACCAUGAUAUAGGAAAAAAGAGAGAAAGGGGAAAAUGGUAAAAGACCAUUGCUUAUUAUACAGCUAAUAUGUGGCAGUCAAAGGAUUCCAGUGAAGACUGAAAAGCAGAUAGUAAAAUGGUAAGAAGAAAGGUGUGUAAAGGCACUAUAAAUAUAUAAAGGCAACUACCAGACAAAUAUAUAUCUUUUAUCAAUACCAUAAGAAAUUUAAAAAGUGUGAAAAUAGUGUCAUCACUGAAUUAGGUUUCCAAUUUGCCUAUAUUCAUGUGAAAUUUUCCAUUUGCAGAAAAAAGCUCUCUGACUGUAUGCUAGAUAGUGGGAUGGUGAGAAAAUAUGUAGGUAUGUGCUAGCUCUAAAUAUUUUUUUCUUUAUCUCCUUUAUUUUCAAAAAAUUCUCCUGUUGCCAACUUCAAGUCUUUAUGAACAACUUUCUUUUUCUUUCUUUUUUUUUUUUUUUUGAGACGGAGUUUUGCUCUUGUU
Molecule: long non-coding RNA, 2390 nt
Filed under: Homo sapiens (human)
Lineage: Eukaryota; Metazoa; Chordata; Mammalia; Primates; Hominidae
Description: HSALNT0325165
Source: RNAcentral